ACAUAUUCACAUAUCCAUAUCCAUUCUUCCCCUUUUUGUCAUCAAUCAAAAAGGAAAUAGGAGAAAAUAAUCCAAAAAGAAGCAGGUCAGCCCAAAGUAGACGCAGUAAGGUAGACAGUAGCAAACUAAAAACCAAAAGUAGCAAACAGACUAGGAAACUAAAUAUGCAAGAAUCAGAACCAAUUUUAGCAGAGGAGGAACCACCCUU
This 208-nucleotide unclassified non-coding RNA is filed under the name Hevea brasiliensis (rubber tree). The record is from RNAcentral. Lineage: Eukaryota; Viridiplantae; Streptophyta; Magnoliopsida; Malpighiales; Euphorbiaceae.